Long non-coding RNA from Numida meleagris (helmeted guineafowl), 254 nucleotides. RefSeq lists it as uncharacterized. The transcript has 2 exons. The record is from RefSeq and is a predicted model, not a curated record. NCBI's taxonomy places the organism in Eukaryota, Metazoa, Chordata, Aves, Galliformes, Numididae.
CCGGGGCUGUCCUUCGAGCUCGGGGGACGGGGCCUCACGUGUUACAUCGUGCGCUGGGCAAGUGACGUGAAAAACAGAGCGUUUCCUCUUGCAGGGAAGGUGAACGAGUACAGAUCUUGCCUUCAGCAGCCUCACAGAUUCAGCUCCACACGUGAGAGCAGAUGAGCUAUAGCGGAAGAAAACCGCUUAGUAUAACCCAAGGCCUAUGUGUAUCCCAGUGCCAAGAAAUACAUGCUUUCAUGGCUGUCUCCUGA